This 1426-nucleotide long non-coding RNA is filed under the name Sus scrofa (pig). RNAcentral's name for it is "lncRNA (ENSSSCG00005028247.1)". Lineage: Eukaryota; Metazoa; Chordata; Mammalia; Artiodactyla; Suidae. The record is from RNAcentral.
ACCUUCCUGGAGAAAUGCUUCCUGUGCGAGUUGGUCGCCGAGGAGAUGGGAGAACCAGGAGUCUUGAUGUUAGACACGUGACCACGCCAGAGUGACUCGGAAGUGCCCUUGAAGUUCACAAGUCCGGGGAAAGAUGAGCCGAUUCUCGUGUUGAAGACGAGCCUUCUGGGGGGGAGCGUGUGCAGGCUCUCACGGAGACUGUCUCAGAGGAGCAGCGAAGAGCCCCCUUCGUGAGAGACAAAGAUUACCGGGGCCUCUGACUUGGCUCACUCGACGGUCGUGGAAGCCGACGGUGCCUUGCUCACUGGAGGCGCUGUGACCCUCUGACGUGUUGGGCCGGAUGGGGUACGAGGAGGCGUUCUGAGGCCCCUGAGGUUUGGGGGGAUCACAUGGUUGCAGUUGGCUCUUAAAAGGGGGCCCUUGUGUCCUGGGUCCUCACUGCAGGGUAGAAUCCUGGCCACCACCCCUGCCUUCCAGAGUAGGCCUCAGAACGCGUGACCUUUGGGUUUCUGCCUUGGUCUCGUGUAGGCUGCGAAAAUGUGAGCUCCAGCCCCCGGUUUCGUGGGCUCUGCCUUGCCUUUGGCUCUGCCCGUGCCCCUCGGGAGGUGUGCCCCUCGGGAGGUGUGUCCCUCGGGAGGUGUGCCCAGCCCGCUUCCUGGGAGGGGAGGGCGGGGAGCAGUGCCGCGUUCUCACCGUGUUGCUCCAGGGUAAGUGAGAGGAAGCCGAGCUCGCGUGUCACCCUCAGAGCGCCCACUGCUCGGAGCCCGUGGGUGUCCUUGAGUUAAAAUGCGAUGGAGACGUGACCUUCUGAAGCCCCUUGCAGAGUGUGUCCCCACAGCAUUGUGAAGUUAAGUCCUCUUGAAUUGAAUUCUUGGUGCGCUCCUGUGUCCCCAGAGUGGAGAGUUGUGCAACUUAAGUGCUUUGGACCGUCUGCCUCCGGGGCGGGCGGGGGGCCGGGUGGAAAGUCAUCAAAUAACUUGAGGCAGAGCUAAACCUUUGCACAUCAGCUUGGAGGAAGCUGGCUUUCCUUGUCGAUGCCAAUCACGCGUCCCUCGAGGGUGGCGCGGGGCCGGAGCCGGGCCCGACGUGGGCAGCCGUUCCCGCUGUGGCCACCAGGUUUAUAGACGAUGCAGUCAUACAGCGUUACGGAGAAGAAGCUGCAGGGGUGCACUGAGAUGGGGUCCCCUCCGCGCGUAGCCAUUCACAGAGCAUUCAGUUCGACUUGCCUCGUGAGUUCUCCUGGGAUCAGUCAAGCGCUCAGGCAGGCUGCGUGGCCUCCUCGGACUUGUGUGGAUCCACUGUGAUCUGAAUCAGAUCAUUGCUUCUCGUCGGCGGCGGUGGAGCCGGCAGAGCCAGCCCAGGCUGGAGCAGCUCUCAGGAGGCGGUGGUCACUGCUCUUCAAUAAAAGUUCUCGUUUCUUUCUUCC